UUGGCCUGUAGCCCCCUUAGAUCUCCAUGCUCCCAGAGGUGGUGACACACUUGUAUUCAGCGGCCAUCACCGGUCUUGCUUGUAAAAGUCCGAUUUCGAUGUGGGCACGCUUUCCUGAGUGCCGCGAGUCUCUGGAAUUACCCUAAACUUCCUCUUUGCUUUGCAGUGAUGGAGAAGUAGGAACAUCCCACUGACAGGAAUGGUAGCCUCCCAUGCAGAAGCGGGUUAACUAAUUUCGUUUUCCCAGUUGGGAUACCACAACCUUAGCAUGUGGAUUUAUCUUGAAACCAGGAAGCCCUGACAUACAUUGCUGCCCAAACAAGAGGAAUCCCAGCGUUCUAUCCUAUAAUGAACAACAAAAAAGCAUAUAUCCAGAAGAUAUCUAUCCUGAUGAUUGCAAAGUGCUUAAGCCUAGGCUCUGAGAAAAAGCACCAACUGCCUUCACGUUCUUCUGGGUAUUCUGUUCUACGUUUUCUUCACAUCUCCUUUGACUGAAAAUUUCCAGGGCAUCUGUGUUUAUGGACUGAAUGUUUAUGUCCCCCCCCCCCAGCCCAAAUUUGUAUGUCGAAGCCCUAGCCCCAACAUAACUGUAUUUGGAAAUAGGGUAGGACCCUGAUCCAGUAGGAUUCGUGUCCUUAUAAGAAGAGGCACCAUCAGAGCACUCUCCUGUCCCUCUCUCCCUGUCUCCCUCUCCCUAGCACAGGCAAGAAAAGAUCACGUGAACACAAAGCAAGAUGGCAGCCACCUACAAGCCAAGAGAAGAGGCCGCAGAAUGAAACCUAUUUUGCCAACACCUUGAUCUGGGACUUCCAGCCUCUAGAACUGUGAGAAAAUAAGUUUCUGUUGUUUAAGCCAUCCAGUUUAUGACAAUUUCUUAUGGUAGCCCAAAUAGAUUAAGACACUCCCCCCCUCCCCCAACAAUGUUUUCCCAGGAACAUGGCCACAAUUGCUGGUGCCCCUCCCCCCCUGAAGGACUGCUUGGUGUCCCCACACAUGGGUACGACUGGAGAGAUCUUGGCUCUCUAAGGGGCCCACACCACCACAGCUUGAGGAGGAUGCAACACAGCCCAAGGCCCCAGAGGAUGACUGAGGACCAGAUGCUAAGGGAAGCUUUUUUUCAGCCAUCAACCCCUAGAGGAAUAUGUGUGUGUGAGUGUGUAUGUGUAUGUGUGUGUGCGUGUAUGUCUGUUGAGGGGUAACUUUUUCAAAGGGUCCAUACUAGAAAUGUCCUCAAGUUCAGGGCUGCGUGGGACUUGUUCCCCACCCUGAAGUAUGCAACCAAAGUGUGAAUGUUGGCCUCAGAAGAUACCAGCUCAGUGAGGGCUGUAUCUGGGGAAGCUGUUCGAUUUCAUGGAAAGAGCAUUGGCUCUAGAGUCAGAGAAAGCUGGGUUCCAAUUCAAGCUUUUUAGGGCAUGCAUCAAAAUAGUAUAAGCAAAGGCUGUAUUGGCUCAUGUCACUGAAAAAUCCAAGGAGUUGUUAUGCUUUCAGGCACAGCAACAUCAAGGCCCUCAAAAGAUGUUAUUGGAAAUCUGUGUUCUAUCUUUCCAUGCUAUUUCUCCAAUGGCUUCACUCUGGGGUCUUCCUCAGUAGCUAUAGACUCAUGUGAUCCUUAGUACUCAGGAUGGGUGGAGGAAGGAGAGAGUCUCUUUCCAAGGGUACAACAAAGACUUGGUGAUAUUGCUGAUUGGCCAAUUCUAAAUCACAUAUUCACCCCUGGGUGGGAUGGGGCGGGUGGGGACUCCCAAUUAAACCUGGAAGAGAUGAUACUGUUACUUAAGGAGGAAGUGAUGCAAGUCAGGCCAAAUCAAUAAUGUCUACAUAGACACUAAAGGACUGUGUGAUUCUAAGCAAGUUGUUUAACCUCUUUGAUCCUCAAGUUCCCCUUUUAUAGAAUGGUUAUACGAGUACCUGCCACCAAGGAAGCUACACAAAGCUCAAGGCACAGAAUGGAGGUGUAAUAACUGUUAACUUUCUUCUUGCUUCCUUUUCCUGCUCCUGGCCUUCUCCUGGAGGCCUGGGAAUGUACCAGGUUUGCCUUGAUUGGUAUUGAAGAUGUCAUGCUGUUUCAGGUUGGGGAUCCUUGAGCAGUAUGAAGACUUCAGAAUACACUCAAUGGAGUUCCUGUGCCAGGGGUCUGUUGCAUUUGGCAAUGGUGGCCUCCAGGGCACAGUGGACUCUGAGUUGGGCUCUUCUCUGGUUGGGCUCAGCCCUGGGACAUCCGGAAAGGCUGGCGGAGGCCUUGCAAAGGGCAAGUGACAUCUGCAGUUGUCUGGAAAGGAGAGCUUACAACUGCAGCAGCUGUGGGCUCAUGGGGAUUAGCCAGGGCUAAGAAGGAGGCAGGACUCUGAGUGCACCACGGAUUUUGGAAUGUCCUAAGCCUGGGAAAAUGAAGUGGACCCUGGCUACUCCCAAUAGGAGCACUGGAAACAACCCAAAUGCAUAUCAAUAGCAGAUUAAACAAUCAUGCUAAUUCCAUACAAGGGGACUCUAUGGUGUUACGAAAAGAGAGAAGCCGUUCUCCAUGUAUUGAUGUCAAAAGAUGUCCACUACUGAGAGCCAAGUUUAAAAAGAAAAAGGCAAAGUAAAAACAGCAUUACAUAUGUUCUCAUUUCAAUUUAUAUGUACUAUAAAGAUCCAUAAUAGCAUGCACUGAAAAAAAGUAUCUGGAUGAAUAUAAACCAAGCAGUGUUUAUCUCUGAGGUUAUAGGGACUUUCGCUGUUUUAUGGCAUGCACUUUGUAAUUUUUAUUACAGCCAUGUGUUACUUUUAUUAUCAGAAAUAACAACAAUGAUUCUUAAAAUAAGAAAAAAAAUAUUGAUCAGAAGAAAGUACUGCACACUCAUUCUUAGAAACAACUGACACCAGAGAUCUUGUGAUGUUAUUCUUGAAAAUCAAGGGAUUCUACUGAACAGGUUUGCACACCAGUGACUGGAUUCGGGAAAGUUGUUUUGGGGUUUUUUGGGGGUUUUUUUGUUGUUUGUUUUUUGGUUUUUGGUUUUUUUGCUUAUGUAGUGCAAUGCUGCUGCACGUGAUUAAAACAUAUUUUUUUCCAUGGGUUGGAGAAGUAGUAGCCUAAUAGCUUAUUUCCUAAGAUUUCCACUAGAAAAGCCCACAAGUUGUUUUAAGAUGCUUACAUGAACACAAAUUAGAAAGUGACAAGCCUUUCUUUAUUACACAUUAGUGAGAAGGAGGAAGAGGGGCGUGA
Molecule: long non-coding RNA, 3205 nt
Organism: Herpailurus yagouaroundi (jaguarundi)
Lineage: Eukaryota; Metazoa; Chordata; Mammalia; Carnivora; Felidae
Exons: 4
Source: RefSeq, a predicted model, not a curated record